CUUUUAAAUUAUAAAAGUAAUUCAUGCUUAUUGUUUAAAAAAUUGCAAAGGCAUAUAGAGCAGAAACUAAAAGUCCCUUAUGAAUCCCCUCUCCCAAUUUUCUACUCUCCCAUCUCUGUUCCAACUCCUCAAAUCUCACACUCUUCCUCAGCAAUGACCAUUUAGGAAUAUGUCCUCUUAAAUACCUCUCUAUGCGUUUACACAUACAUACAUACAUCUGCACAUUUACCACAUGCAUUUUUCUUACAUUAAUGGGAUUUCUACUAUUCUGCUAUUUGCCUUUUUUGCUUCAUUAGUAUAUUUUCUUUGGUCUUAUUCCUUGUCAGUUCAAAUAGAAUCAUAUGAUUAUUACAUUUACAAUAUGGGCACACAAAGAUUUGUUUUUAUCAACCCAUUAUUGAUGAAUUUUUGUGCAGUCUUUUUUUUGCUAUUGGAAAUAUUGUUACAAUCCUUGUACUCUUUGUUAAUAUGUGUAUUUCUUUAGGACAGGUAUUUAGAAUGAAAUUGCUGGGCCGAAGAUUUGCCCAUUCAAAUUUCUAAGAGUUGCUUCCAAACCACACUGUGAGAAGACUUUAUCAAUUUUUAUCUCCAUAAAUUUUUUUUAAAGAAAAUAGUCAAACCAGAAGUCCCAUGAAACUAACUUAAGAGAUAAGCAAAAGUGUCUAUAGCCCAUUGACUUCCAUAUCAGAGAUUAACUGUCCUCUUCCAUGUUCAAACCAUAUGUAAUUGUAAUUGAAUGGAAGUUAAACAUCUGGAAACCGUUAGGAUUGAAUAGCAAUGAAAGGCAGGAAGCACAAGACUAUGGAAAGUGAUUUUGAACAACCAGGCCCACAAGAUUUCUCAACAAACCUAGAGCUCAACAAAGGCUAGAACUAUGUGAUAAGCGUGCAGAUCUUCACAAUGCAAGGCAGACAAUCUGGUGUUCUGAGAGCAAGACUGAGGUCUUUCUGUAGAUGCCCAGGCCAUAUGUGGAAGCUGACACUUGGCAACAACAGGCGACCUGGAAGCAUACUUCCGGUAGCAAUGGGGACAUGGGUCAAAGGGGACUUGAGGUCCUCUCUCUACUCUUUUCCAUCCUGUUCUCUGCCCAGGGAAGAUGACCUAUUUAGACAGCAGCAAAGGGCUUGCUUACCCAAGAGUACUGGCAGGAGAGAGGAAGGAGGAGGUAAGAUCAGAGUAUGUUCCUGGCCCCUUCUCUGCUGGUUCCUGCAGGUUGGCUGUGUCCCUCUACCCAGAGAUACAGCUCCUGCCAGGCAGCCCUUUCCAUUCCACUCCCCUCCCUGGCUUCCAAGAAUGGCUCCUCGAUGCUUCAUUCAGGUCUAGUGGUGGGAAGAGCUCCCUGCGGUUGCCAGCUCCAUAUCGAAGUGAACUCUUAGGCAAUGUCUUCUCAUGCAAUUUAUUGGGAAAUCAAUCAGAGAUUGACCUUUGCUAGACAACCUCUAGUGUCUUGUAAACAUUAUUUAAAUUUUAAAUUAUUUGUCUUUUCAAAAUCAUGGGCUUUGGCACUAAGUAGUUUUGGCCUUGACUGUAAGCUUUGUCAACAUUGAACACCUGGACAAAGUAUUAACCUAGCAGAGCCUCAAUUUACUAAAAAUUAAAGAGUAACAGUAAUAUCUACCUUACAUGGUAUUGUGAGAAUUCAGUGAACAUAUAUAAAAUUUUAUUACAAGAUACAGCACAUAAAUCUAAUUUUAUUCCUCUUUUUUCCCUCUUUCUUUCCUCCAACUAGGGGCCAAAUUUAGCUAACAUUUACUGAGUGAUUAUUAUGUGUCAUGUACUAGUUUAAGCAUUUUAUACAUAUUAAUUGAUUUACAUCAAUCCUAUAUACUAUUAUCCUCUCUUUUACAGAUGGAGAAAUCAAGGUGCAAAGAGGUUAAGAAAUUUGUCCAAGGUUUGCCAGGACAUAGAUGGGAGUACUAAUUCACAACUAGAUGGUAAACUUUUCAAGGCAAAACCAACUGUAUACCAAAUUUCUUUCUUUCUUUCACAGGGCCUAGCAUGAUGUCUUCCAUAUGCAGGUGUUCAAUAAGUGCUGAUUUUAUUCCAGGAGCAGAGGCAAUUAAGCUAGGGUUGCAAUAGUUAGGGAGCCAGGAGAUCCACGUGGUCAAAGUAGCAGCUGCUUUCACGAAGCGGCAGUAAUGCGUGCCGCUCGAAUUUGGAUGCAAGGUCCUGGUAACUGAGGAAUGGGCUGUUGCUGGAAGAUAGAGCAGAGAGCAGCCAGUUAUCUUGCGGAGGGGUGAGGAAGGAAAGAGAACUUGAGCUGGGAAGCCAGCAACAGUGGAAAGCUCCCCAAGUGAAGCUUGAGCUCCUCUCUCAGCAAUCCUCCUGGCCUUGAGGAGACAGUAAAUCUCACUCCAUCCUGUGGUUAUACCACUGAAGCAUCUUUAAAAACACUUAGUCCCAAACAAUGGGCCCUUUCCUGCUGCUUUUCUUACCUGAGCCAGCAACCUCAGAGCUUUCUGGGAUUUCUGUUAAAAACGCCGAGAUCCCAGGACUCCUUCUCUAUCAACACAACUGUCACUCACGCCAAGCAUGGGACAUAUGGCCGAGCAUCUGGGAGGGAGAAGAUGGGCCAGGAGUGCUGGCAAGCGGCACAUGCUUUCAUUAUAAUGGAUGUGUCACAGUAAAUCAUUUUGUAAAUGUCCCCUCCCCCUGUGCUGCAUAGCAAAACAUAAAGGAAGACGAAUUACCCACAGCACCACAAUGCUGGUUGAAUAUGCCAAAACUUGUGCCUGAGACACUUAGUGACAUUUCCUUAAAUAUCUUUUUAAUAUCUUGGCCAGGUUGGGCAUACCAAUGGCAUUACAGAGCUUGCAAAUCAAUACCCCAGCUGUUUUGGUUUUUUAAUAAAACUGAAUGUGAUCUAUUUUAAAUGAUUGCCUUCCACCCCUCUAAUUUUCUACAGGGCUUUCAGAGAGCAAGACUGUGGGCAGCCCUGAAGUCAGGACUUGGCUCUGAAAGGGUAGUUGUUCCUUUUGGGGGUGGGGGUAGAAAUUAAACAUUUGCUGGAUUACUGUCAUCAUUUUUUCCUAGUCCUCUAGUCUCCCAAAUCUAGUGAUCUACAUGAUUUACAGGACCAACUUGUGGUUUGCUGCUGUUUUUAAAAAAUGAGUUUACCAAAAUGUUGCAGAAGAAUCUAAAGGGCUUAGCUUCUACAAAUCAAAUUGAUUUCUCCAUUUGGGAUCAGUCCAAGUGAUUUAUUCAUAAUUUUAUUAGAGAUCUUUUCCAAAGGAAAUUCUUUGUCUCUGAUUAUCACCAUAAAGAAAAUUGAAAGAGCUUCUACCAAGAAUUAAGUCAUAUGCAUGUGACUUUUGCCCCUCGGAAAAAUGGAAUAUGUAAAACUGUCAUCAACAGCAACCAUCUUGGUUACUGGACAUCCACAGUCCUCAAUAACAACAAGAAUUCCUCACGCAGAUAGGGAGGUGGUCCUGUCACAUUUGGGGUCCCAGUAAGCAGAAAAGCCCAAUCAAAGUACCUAUAAAUCAGAGUUUUAUAAAGAUAUUAGUUGACUGCUACUUAUGUGGGUCAUAAAUGUGACACCACAAUAAACAAUCAAGUUUCUUUGAGGACGUAUUUGAGGACUUUUUUAUUGGCUUUGAGAAAUCACAG
Molecule: long non-coding RNA, 3609 nt
Filed under: Pan troglodytes (chimpanzee)
Lineage: Eukaryota; Metazoa; Chordata; Mammalia; Primates; Hominidae
Description: lncRNA (ENSPTRG00000053007.1)
Source: RNAcentral